UUAAGUGAAUAAGGGCGCACGGUGGAUGCCUUGGCACUAGGAGCCGAUGAAGGACGGGACUAACACCGAUAUGCUUUGGGGAGCUGUACGUAAGCUAUGAUCCAGAGAUUUCCGAAUGGGGGAACCCAGCAUCUUUAAUAGGAUGUUACGAUUGUGUGAAUACAUAGCACAUUCGAGGUAGACGCAGAGAACUGAAACAUCUAAGUACCUGCAGGAAGAGAAAGAAAAUUCGAUUCCCUGAGUAGCGGCGAGCGAAACGGGAAAAGCCCAAACCAGCAAGCUUGCUUGUUGGGGUUGUAGGACUCCAAUAUGGUAGUUCUUUCAGAUAGUCGAAUGACUUGGAAAAGUCAGUCAAAGAGGGUAAAAACCCCGUAGACGAAAUGUGGAAGACACCUAGGAGGAUCCUGAGUACGGCGGAACACGAGAAAUUCCGUCGGAAUCCGGGAGGACCAUCUCCCAAGGCUAAAUACUCCCUAGUGACCGAUAGUGAACCAGUACCGUGAGGGAAAGGUGAAAAGCACCCCGGAAGGGGAGUGAAAUAGAACCUGAAACCGUGUGCCUACAACAAGUCAAAGCCCGUUAAUGGGUGAUGGCGUGCCUUUUGUAGAAUGAACCGGCGAGUUACGAUUGCAUGCGAGGUUAAGUUGAAGAGACGGAGCCGCAGCGAAAGCGAGUCUGAAUAGGGCGUUUGAGUAUGUAGUCGUAGACCCGAAACCAUGUGAUCUACCCAUGUCCAGGUUGAAGGUGCGGUAAAACGCACUGGAGGACCGAACCCACGUACGUUGAAAAGUGCGGGGAUGAGGUGUGGGUAGCGGAGAAAUUCCAAACGAACUUGGAGAUAGCUGGUUCUCUCCGAAAUAGCUUUAGGGCUAGCCUCGGAAUUGAGAAUGAUGGAGGUAGAGCACUGUUUGGACUAGGGGCCCAUCUCGGGUUACCGAAUUCAGAUAAACUCCGAAUGCCAUUCAUUCAUAUCCGGGAGUCAGACUGUGAGUGAUAAGAUCCAUAGUCGAAAGGGAAACAGCCCAGACCACCAGCUAAGGUCCCAAAAUAUAUGUUAAGUGGAAAAGGAUGUGGGGUUGCACAGACAACUAGGAUGUUGGCUUAGAAGCAGCCAUCAUUUAAAGAGUGCGUAAUAGCUCACUAGUCGAGUGACCCUGCGCCGAAAAUGUACCGGGGCUAAACAUAUUACCGAAGCUGUGGAGUACACCUUUAGGUGUAUUGGUAGGAGAGCGUUCUAAGGGCGUUGAAGGCAGAUCGUGAGGACUGCUGGAGCGCUUAGAAGUGAGAAUGCCGGUAUGAGUAGCGAAAGACAGGUGAGAAUCCUGUCCACCGAAUGACUAAGGUUUCCUGGGGAAGGCUCGUCCGCCCAGGGUUAGUCGGGACCUAAGCCGAGGCCGACAGGCGUAGGCGAUGGAUAACAGGUUGAUAUUCCUGUACCCGUUGUUUUUGUUUGAGCAAUGGAGGGACGCAGGAGGCUAAGGAAUGCAGACGAUCGGAAAUGUCUGUCCAAGCAGUAAGUCUGAAGAGGAGUCAAAUGCUUCUUUUCUUAAGGACAAGCUGUGAUGGGGAGGGAAAUAAUAGUACCGAAGUUCCUGAUGUCACACUGCCGAGAAAAGCUUCUAGUGAGAAAACAGCGGCCCGUACCGCAAACCGACACAGGUAGUCGAGGAGAGAAUCCUAAGGUGAGCGAGAGAACUCUCGUUAAGGAACUCGGCAAAAUGACCCCGUAACUUCGGGAGAAGGGGUGCUGAUCAUACGAUCAGCCGCAGUGAAUAGGCCCAAGCGACUGUUUAUCAAAAACACAGGUCUCUGCAAAAUCGUAAGAUGAAGUAUAGGGGCUGACGCCUGCCCGGUGCUGGAAGGUUAAGAGGAGUGCUUAGCGCAAGCGAAGGUACGAAUUGAAGCCCCAGUAAACGGCGGCCGUAACUAUAACGGUCCUAAGGUAGCGAAAUUCCUUGUCGGGUAAGUUCCGACCCGCACGAAAGGCGUAACGAUUUGGGCACUGUCUCAACGAGAGACUCGGUGAAAUUUUAGUACCUGUGAAGAUGCAGGUUACCCGCGACAGGACGGAAAGACCCCAUGGAGCUUUACUGUAGUUUGAUAUUGAGUGUCUGUACCGCAUGUACAGGAUAGGUAGGAGCCGUAGAAAUCGGAACGCUAGUUUCGAUGGAGGCGCUGGUGGGAUACUACCCCUGCGUUAUGGCCACUCUAACCCGCACCACUAAUCGUGGUGGGAGACAGUGUCAGAUGGGCAGUUUGACUGGGGCGGUCGCCUCCUAAAAGGUAACGGAGGCGCCCAAAGGUUCCCUCAGAAUGGUUGGAAAUCAUUCGAAGAGUGUAAAGGCAGAAGGGAGCUUGACUGCGAGACCAACAAGUCGAGCAGGGACGAAAGUCGGGCUUAGUGAUCCGGUGGUUCCGCAUGGAAGGGCCAUCGCUCAACGGAUAAAAGCUACCCUGGGGAUAACAGGCUUAUCUCCCCCAAGAGUCCACAUCGACGGGGAGGUUUGGCACCUCGAUGUCGGCUCGUCGCAUCCUGGGGCUGUAGUCGGUCCCAAGGGUUGGGCUGUUCGCCCAUUAAAGCGGCACGCGAGCUGGGUUCAGAACGUCGUGAGACAGUUCGGUCCCUAUCCGUCGCGGGCGUUGGAAAUUUGAGAGGAGCUGUCCUUAGUACGAGAGGACCGGGAUGGACUUACCGCUGGUGUACCAGUUGUUCUGCCAAGGGCAUUGCUGGGUAGCUAUGUAGGGAAGGGAUAAACGCUGAAAGCAUCUAAGUGUGAAGCCCACCUCAAGAUGAGAUUUCCCAUUUCUUUAAGAAAGUAAGAUCCCUGAGAGAUAAUCAGGUAGAUAGGUCAGGAGUGGAAGUACAGUGAUGUAUGAAGCGGACUGAUACUAAUCGAUCGAGGACUUAACCAA
This 2913-nucleotide ribosomal RNA is filed under the name Enterococcus faecium. RNAcentral describes it as "bacterial LSU rRNA". It matches the Rfam family "Bacterial large subunit ribosomal RNA". Lineage: Bacteria; Bacillati; Bacillota; Bacilli; Lactobacillales; Enterococcaceae. The record is from RNAcentral.